GAGUUUGAUCGUGGCUCAGAACGAACGCUGGCGGCAUGCCUAACACAUGCAAGUCGAACGUGAUCCCGGUUUCGGCCGGGUGAAAGUGGCAGACGGGUGAGUAACGCGUGGGAACCUGCCCUGAGGUAGGGAAUAACCGCGGGAAACUGCGGCUAAUACCCUAUGUGCCCUGAGGGGCAAAGAUUUAUCGCCUUGGGAGGGGCCCGCGUCGGAUUAGGUAGUUGGUGGGGUAACGGCCUACCAAGCCUUCGAUCCGUAGCUGGUCUGAGAGGAUGAUCAGCCACACUGGGACUGAGAUACGGCCCAGACUCCUACGGGAGGCAGCAGUGGGGAAUAUUGGACAAUGGGGGCAACCCUGAUCCAGCAAUGCCGCGUGGGUGAUGAAGGCCUU
Molecule: ribosomal RNA, 391 nt
Filed under: uncultured Alphaproteobacteria bacterium
Lineage: Bacteria; Pseudomonadati; Pseudomonadota; Alphaproteobacteria
Description: bacterial SSU rRNA
Rfam family: Bacterial small subunit ribosomal RNA
Source: RNAcentral